RNAcentral lists this ribosomal RNA (271 nucleotides) under Physcia caesia. Its description in RNAcentral is "partial 26S ribosomal RNA". It matches the Rfam family "Eukaryotic large subunit ribosomal RNA", at positions 1 to 250 of the family's 3401-position model. Lineage: Eukaryota; Fungi; Ascomycota; Lecanoromycetes; Caliciales; Physciaceae. The record is from RNAcentral.
UUGACCUCGGAUCAGGUAGGGAUACCCGCUGAACUUAAGCAUAUCAAUAAGCGGAGGAAAAGAAACCAACAGGGAUUGCCUCAGUAACGGCGAGUGAAGCGGCAAAAGCACAAAUUUGGCGGUCCGGCGAGACUUCCAGCAUAGCAAGAUUCUCACGAUCCCGCUUGAUAGGUACCUGCUGCUUGCCGGCCAGACUACCGCCGUGACUUAUCAACGGUGACCUCGGCUUAGGAAGGGAUACCCGCUGAUCAUAGCAUAUCAAUAACCUGAC